Molecule: long non-coding RNA, 5478 nt
Filed under: Homo sapiens (human)
Lineage: Eukaryota; Metazoa; Chordata; Mammalia; Primates; Hominidae
Description: non-protein coding lnc-S100G-1:5
Source: RNAcentral
GGCAACCCGUUGGGGUCCCCUUCCCCAAUGUGGAAGCUUUGUUCUUUCGCUCUUUGCAAUAAAUCCUUCUGCUGCUCACUCUUUGGGCCCACACUGCCUUUAUGAGCUGUAACACUCACCGCGAAGUUCUGCAGCUUCACUCCUGAGCCAGCAAGACCACGAACCCACCAGAAGGAAGAAACUCCGAACACAUCCGAACUUCAGAAGGAACAAACUCCAGACGCGCCACCUUAAGAGCUGUAACACUCAACGCGAGGGUCCGUGGCUUCAUUCUUGAAGUCAGUGAGACCAAGAGCCCACCAAUUCCAGACACAUGUUGACUGAUGUCUCAUGUCUCCCUAAAAUGUAUAAAACCAAGCUGUGCCCCUACCACCUUAGGCACAUGUUGUCAGGACCUCCUGAGGCUGUCAUGGGCACAUGUCCUCAACCUUGGCAAGAUAAACUUUCUAAAUUAACUGAGACUUGUCUCAGACUUUGGGGGUUCAUAUUUUGGCAACCACGAAGGGAUUAUAUGUGGAGAUGCCCCUGACCUUAGGCAAAUCUCCUAUCAGUGCUUGGUACCAGCCUGAGCUAACUUUAUGGCUCAAACCAAUAGGACAAUUUGUUGAGGUCUGGAAGCACUCCCUCCAGAGAAUCCCCAAAAUUUGCUUGAGAUCAAAAGUUUAUUUUGCUAUACAACUCCUUUUUUUUUUUUUUUUUUUUUUUUUGGAGUUUUCCUUGCUUCCAACAAGGAAGGUAGGAUUUCCUGUUUCCAUGACAAUGGAAGGCAGGUAACUGCCUUAUAGAGUUUGAGCUCACUCCCAGCAAGGAAGAUGAGUUUGAGGGUUUUUUUCCUGCUUCUAGGAUGGUAGAAAGCAGUCUUCAGCCUGAGACCCAUUCCUAGGUGCUCUUGAGUACAAGUUUCUGAUAACUUUGGAGAUUGUGACAUCAGAAUAGAGGAAAAACUUUUAGGACUCAUGGAGAAGUGAAAUGUUCAUGAACAUCAGGCAGAACAGGAAUUAACUGCAUGGACAGAACUAAUACAAAACUGAGGACAUGAGACUUCACAACCUGCUAAAAAUGAACUUUCCUAAUAACUGGGGACCUACCCGUCUAGGAAUAAACCAUCCUAGCCAUGACAGAUCAGAUGAAACCUGAGACCAGAGACUCAUUUUCUCCUAAAAUGCUUUCUCCAAAAGAUUUUUAAAAAGAAAAGGGGGAAAAUAUGAAUGGAAAAUAAAUCUUGGGGCCCCAACAUCACUAAGCUAAAGGGAAAAGUCAAGCUGGGAACUGCUUAGGGCCAACCUGCCUCCCAUUCUAUUCAAAGUCACCUCUCUGCUCACUGAGAUAAGUGUAUAUCUGACUGCCUCAUUUGGAGAGGCUAAUCAGAAACUCAAAAGAAUGCAACCAUUUGUCUCUUAUCUACCUAUGACCUGGAAACCCCCUCCGCACUUUGAGUUGUCCCACCUGUGAAAGGAAAAUAAAUCUUGGGGCCCCCAAAUCACUAAGCUAAAGGGAAAAGUCAAGCUGAGAACUGCUUAGGGCCAACCAUCCUCUCAUUCUAUUCACAGUCACCCCUCUGCUCACUGAGAUAGAUGCUAUCUGAUUGCCUCCUUUGGAAAGGCUAAGCAGAAACUCAAAAGAAUGCAACUUUCCAUCUCUCACCUAUCUGUGACCUGGAAGCCCAGUCCCUGCUUUGAGUCUUCCUGCCUUUGCUUCAAGCUGUCCCGCCUUUCCAGACCAAACCAAUGUACUUCUUACAUAUAUUGAUGUCUCAUGUCUCAUGUCUCCCUAAAAUGUAUAAAACUAAACUGUGCCCCUACCACCUUGGGCACAUGUCGUCAGGACUUCCUGAGGCUGUGUCAUGGGCACAUCCUCUACCCUGGCAAAAUAAACUUUCUAAAUUAACUGGGACCUACCUCAAAUUAUCUGGGUUCACACGCCUUUGCCUCGAGUUGUCCCACCUUUCCGGACUGAACCAAUGUACAUCUUAACACAUACUGAUUGAUGUCUAAUGUCUCUCUAAAAUGUAUAAAACCAAGCUGUGCUCUGACCACCUUAGGCACUUGUCAUCAGGAUCUCCUGAGGCCAUAUUAUGGGUGCACGUCCUCAACCUUGGCAAAAUAAGCUUUCUAAAUUAACUGAGACGUGUCUCAGAUUUUCGGGAUUCACAAUCUCCACUCUUCACCAAACCUACAAUAAAAAACCCUCAGCUUCUCAGCUUUAACUGUUUCUUCGGGUCUUCAUUUUCUUAUGAAGGUUCAUGUGUCACAUAAAACUUUAAAAAAUUUGUACACUUUUCUCUCAUUAAUCUGUCUUCUGUUAUAGGGCCUCAGCCAUGAACUUGGAAUGGGUAGAUUAAAAAAAAUAUUUUUCCUCCCCUACACAUUUUUUUUUUUUUUUUUGAGACGGAGUCUCAGUCUGUUGACCAGGCUCAAGUGCAAUGGCGUGGUCUUGGCUCACUGCAACCUCUGCCUCCCAGUUUAAGCAAUUAUCCUGCCUCAGCCUCCUGACUAGCUGGGACUACAGGCGCGUGCCACCACACCUGGCUAAUUUUUUUGUAUUUUUAGUAGAGAUCGGGUUUCAUCAUGUUGGCCAGGCUGGUCUUGAACUCCUGACCUCAUGAUCCGCCCGCCUCGGCCUCGCAAAGUGCUGAGAUUACAGGCGUGAGCCACCACACCUGGCCCUCCCCUACACAUUUCUAAGUAUCUUACCUGAUUUUCUAUGGCACCUUUGGGUUGCAGAACCUUAGCUGUAGGAGAAAUGGUGGUGACGGCCAAUGUCUGGCACUGACUUUAACAGAGUACAGAUGUGUAUGUAAAUAGUACUUAUUUUAACAAAAUAGAAAGUUCAAGAAAGAAAUACAGCAACAAAAGUGACAAUUAGAUUGGAAGAGACCCAUUCUUGUUUGCUUGUUUUCUCCAUAAGCCAUCUAGCUUUUUUUUUUUUUUUUGUGAGACGGUCUCACUGUCUCCCAGGCUGGAGUGCAGUGGUGCCAUCACAGCUCACCUCAGCCUUGACCUCCCAGGCUCAAGUGAUCCUCCCACCUUAGCCUCUCAAGUAGCUGGAAGUAUAGGCAUGUACCACCAUGCCCAGCUAAUUUUUUUUUAUUUUUCAUGGAGACAGGGUCUCACUAUAUUGCCCAAGCCAGUCUUGAAUUCCUGGGCUGAAGCGAUCCUCCUGCCUCAGCCUCCCAAAAUGUUGGGAUUAUAGUCAUGAGCUACCAUGCCCAGCCCUAACUCCAUUCUUAAUUGUCACUUAGCCUACACUUUCACUUCAUUGACAUUUAUAGGCUGACAACAAGCAGAUGAAGAUACCAUUGAAACAGUGCCACCACUCACCCAACUGUCCUGUCAGUCAGGAAAAGCACAUCCCCACUGGGUCUCAGAGCUCUCGGCCCGUUGUCUUUGCACUGUGUGACCACACACAAAACCAGGUAAAGUAUUUACCUGCUUUGUUCAGGAGGCUGUCCUUGGCUCUCUAGUUUCUGAUAGGACCCCAUUUUAAACUCUCAAGCCCCCUUGUCCUUGUUCUUUGAUAGUGUCAUAGCCUCUAAACAUAUCACAAUUAUUAAUAUAAUUAAAUACUUAUUUCCCUAUAGAUUUGUUUAAAGCCUGCCUUCCCCCAAGAGAUGGUCAGGUCUGAAGGCAGGUUUGUUACAGAUGACAGGCUCUUGGGCUCAUCAUGUAAUAAAAGUUAACAUGGGGACAAGCAGAUUUCCAGAAAAGGCUUUUAUCUUGGGGCUUGUGCUCGAGUGCAGGGGAGACACCAGAGGUACAAGGACCCUCAAGCUGACUCCCUGAAAAGGUGGUAGGGAUUUUUUUUAUUAGGCAAACACAGGAAUUGGUAUCAUGGGUAGGGUAUGCAGGCUGGCCUGGGCAAAGCACGUGACGGGUAGGGGAUGCUGGUUAGCGUAUCUAGUUGUGAUGGUUAUCUUGAGUAAUGGGCCACCUGGGGGUCUGGCCAGCUGUAACAAGGCUGCAAAUCAAUUGUUCAGGGUUCCUUCCCUUCCCAUGAUGGGACAUUCUGAAACCUCGGUUUGAUGUUUAGAUUUCCUAAGGCCAGUUCCUGGAAUUCUUUUAAGUAAAAGGCAUGAUUAAACAUUAUGAGAGCACAGAAGAAUGGCUAUUUUCUUUGUAAGCCUGAAGCCUUAUCUAAAACCAAUUGUCAGCAAGGCAGGGGUGUGGGUCUUGUGAUCAGUGAGACAAGAAGAAAAAAAAAAACGUGAAAAAGGAACUGAGUUCCUUUUCUAUUCUAUCUGAGGUUACUCCCCACUGCACCCCCGGCACCUGACAUUGUGAGAGGCAUUUGAACCAGAGUGACUCCAUCUUGAAUAGGGGCUGGGUAAAAUGAAUCUGAGACCUACUGGGCUGCAUUCCCAGGAGGUUAGGCAUUCUUAGUCACAGGAUGAGAUAGGAGGUUGGCAGGACUGGUAUCACAAGAUACAGGUCAUAAAAACUCUGACCAUAAAACAAGAUGUGGUAUAGAAGCCAGCCAAAACCAAGAUGGUGAGAAAAGUGACCUCUAGUCAUCCUCACUGCUCAUUAUACUCAAAUUAUAAUGCAUUAGCAUGCUUAAAGAAAUUUCCACUAGCACCAUGACAGCUUACAAAUGCCAUGGCAGUGUUCAGAAGUUACCCUAUAUAGUCUAAAAAGGGGAGGAACCCUCAGUUCCAGGAAUUCCCCACCCCUUUCCCAGAAAACUCAUGAAUGAUCUACCCUUUAUUUAGCAUAUGAUCAAGAAAUAACCAUAAGUAUACCCAGUCAGCAGCGCGUGCCGCUGCUGUGUCUAUGGAGUAGCCAUUCUUUUGUCUCUUUUACUUCUCUAAUAAACUUUAUUCUAUGAAUUUGCCCCCAAAUUCUUUCUUGCGCAAGAUCCAAGAACCCUCUUUUGGGGUCUGGACUGGGACCCCUAUCACCAUGCCUGGCUCAAGAAACAUUUGUUGAGUAAUGAUUUAUAGUGACUUUCUAUGUGCUCAUGUCUCACUCUUGUUCCAGUACCUGUAUGCUAAGCAGCCAUGCUACUGUCCUUCUGUGCUUCCCUACAUUCCAAGUUCAAGGGGACAGGAUGGUUUAUUGUUUCUUAAGUGCUUGUCUUUCUGGUCCUGUUUACAUGCAUCAUUAGCCCACAGGAAAGCACUCUGUUACAAAUGACUUUAGAAAUCACAAUCAUUAAAAUUGAAAACUUCCAUUUAAGCCAGACUACCCCUUUGUGAUGUUAAAAGUGUUGCCUCUGAGCUUCCAACCCCCUCUCUAUGAGGCCUAUUCCAGCUUUUAACCUACCGUGGGUGCGGGCUUUUCAUUUGGAGCCUCUUGUGAUCUUCAAGCUGUAAUUUUCGCAAGCAGGGCCCUAAAGCUCUUUAAUUUUUUUGUUUACCAGAAUUACUCAUUUCAUUUUUGUAUGUGCUUGGUAGAUGAAUUUUCUGUGGCAUCUUACAAAAUAAGGCCAUAAUACCUUAUGGCAUUAAAAAAAAGUUGGGGGGGGAGCAAAACCACCACA